GCAUUCUCAGCCUACACACGUUCAAUGUUAUGCACUUCAAGCAAAGCACGCGGUUUAUCUGAACGGGCGCUGACAUUUAGGUUCCAGUCAGAGCAUUCAAGUCACUGCCACCAUCUUCUGUGAAGUCAGACUAACAGUAUGUAUGUAGCUGUCUAAAUAAUGACCUUGUUCAUCCCUGAUAUGGCUGGUCGUCUGUUUUUGCUCAUCCUCCUUUUCGAUACCUUCCAGUACAUCAAAGCCAAAGAUCUUCCUCGGCCCAGUCUAACAGUGAUUCCUGCAGUCAUCAAAGAGAGAGACUCAGUUCAGCUGAACUGUCAGACUCCUUCAUCUGUCUCUGAGUGUUACUUCAAAAUGGAAGGGCAAGUGGAAUUCACCCUACCAUCACCCUGUCAACAGACUCUCACAGGAACACUACUGGUGAGGUGGACAGGUCAGAGUUCACCAGCUGAGGUCAAAAUACAAUGUCAGUACAGUGCUACAGGUUCACAGUUUAGAUCCAUGUUCAGUGAGCCUUCAACAGUCACAAUUCAGGACCUUCCUCAGCUGACAGUGAGUUCUACAGUCAUCAGAGAGACAGAAUCAGUUCAGCUGAGUUGUGAGACUCCUCCAUCUCUCCCUGUGUCUCACUGUUACUUCUACAUAGAGGGGAGGAAGAAUCUUCCAGACUCAUUGUGUACGCAGACAAUAACAGGAACUCAGCUGCUGAAGAGGGCAGAUCAAACAUUUCCAGUUGUGGUCAAAGUGAAGUGUUACUAUGCUGUAUGGAAGUCUCACACAUCUCCGUUUAGUAACUCUGUCUCAGUCACUGUUCAGG
Molecule: long non-coding RNA, 814 nt
Filed under: Salmo salar (Atlantic salmon)
Lineage: Eukaryota; Metazoa; Chordata; Actinopteri; Salmoniformes; Salmonidae
Description: lncRNA (ENSSSAG00000093033.1)
Source: RNAcentral